CUAACAUAUGGUCAGAAUUCAUGUUUUAUAGCUUAAUUCAUAACAUACCGACCCUAUGGAAGGCCUACGAUUGAUCCAAACGAUGUUUACAAUCAUAGAGAAAAAUUCAAAAAUUUGGACCCAUACAUUCGUGUGGCACACACGACCCAAUUGGCCUAGAUCGUGUGUCUCACAUGGUUCAGCACAUGGCCUGUCACACAGUAGUGUGUCACGUACGAC
This 219-nucleotide long non-coding RNA is filed under the name Gossypium raimondii (Peruvian cotton). RNAcentral describes it as "long non-coding RNA (GRAI_LNC003035)". Lineage: Eukaryota; Viridiplantae; Streptophyta; Magnoliopsida; Malvales; Malvaceae. The record is from RNAcentral.